AUUGAACGCUGGCGGCAUGCCUUACACAUGCAAGUCGAACGGCAGCACGGGAGCAAUCCUGGUGGCGAGUGGCGAACGGGUGAGUAAUAUAUCGGAACGUGCCCAGUGAUGGGGGAUAGCCCGGCGAAAGCCGGAUUAAUACCGCAUACGACCUACGGGUGAAAGCAGGGGAUCGCAAGACCUUGCGUCAUUGGAGCGGCCGAUAUCAGAUUAGCUUGNGGUGGGUAAAAGCCUACCAAGGCGACGAUCUGUAGCUGGUCUGAGAGGACGACCAGCCACACUGGGACUGAGACACGGCCCAGACUCCUACGGAGGCAG
Molecule: ribosomal RNA, 318 nt
Filed under: uncultured bacterium
Lineage: Bacteria
Description: bacterial SSU rRNA
Rfam family: Bacterial small subunit ribosomal RNA
Source: RNAcentral